RNAcentral lists this ribosomal RNA (455 nucleotides) under uncultured bacterium. RNAcentral describes it as "SSU rRNA". It matches the Rfam family "Bacterial small subunit ribosomal RNA", at positions 26 to 518 of the family's 1533-position model. The record is from RNAcentral.
AGAACGAACGCUGGCGGCGCGCCUAACACAUGCAAGUCGAGCGCCUCACUUUCGGGUGGGGAGCGGCGCACGGGUGAGUAAUGCGUGGGAACCUACCAUGGGGUUCGGGACAACGGCGGGAAACUGCCGCUAACACCGGAUACGGCCUUCAGCGAUGGAGGCGAAAGGUUACGCCCUGUGAUGGGCCCACGUCCGAUUAGCUUGUUGGUGAGGUAACGGCUCACCAAGGCUGCGAUCGGUAGCCGGUCUGAGAGGAUGAUCGGCCACACUGGGACUGAGACACGGCCCAGACUCCUACGGGAGGCAGCAGUGGGGAAUCUUGGACAAUGGGGGCAACCCUGAUCCAGCGACGCCGCGUGGGUGAUGAAGGCCUUCGGGUUGUAAAGCCCUUUGUCGGGGACGAUGAUGACGGUACCCGGCGAAUAAGCACCGGCUAACUCCGUGCCAGCAGCCGC